This 345-nucleotide long non-coding RNA is filed under the name Homo sapiens (human). Its description in RNAcentral is "HSALNT0200187". The record is from RNAcentral. Lineage: Eukaryota; Metazoa; Chordata; Mammalia; Primates; Hominidae.
AAAAUUGACUUUGCUUCUUUGAGAACAGCAUGGUGAGUCUACUAUCCUUGACUUUUCAUCAAUUUGUUUCAUCACUAAAGUAUUUCAAGUUGCUGUCUACGUCAAGGCAAGAAAGUUCUGUAGGGUUUCAGCUGAAAAAUCAGAAGCCACACAGGCUUGCUGGAACACACAGCUGCAUUUCCAGCUCUGAUUUUAAAUGUGCUCUAUCUGGAUCCAUAUUCUGCACAAUCUGCCUCUUGUGAUGAAGAUGAAAAUGGUUACCUUAAAGUUCUCUUCGGUCAGGCCUUCUUCAGUUUUAGCAUCUCUAAUCAUUGCAGCAACGUAUCGCUUCACCAGGUUCCUCAU